GUGGACUCAGUAGUGGCGCACGGGUGCGUACGCGUGGGAACCUGCCUUUAGGUUCGGAAUAACUCAGAGAAAUUUGAGCUAAUACCGGAUAAUGUCUUCGGACCAAAGAUUUAUCGCCUUUAGAUGGGCCCGCGUUAGAUUAGAUAGUUGGUGGGGUAACGGCCUACCAAGUCGACGAUCUAUAGCUGGUCUGAGAGGAUGAUCAGCCACACUGGGACUGAGACACGGCCCAGACUCCUACGGGAGGCAGCAGUGGGGAAUAUUGGACAAUGGGCGAAAGCCUGAUCCAGCAAUGCCGCGUGAGUGAUGAAGGCCUUAGGGUUGUAAAGCUCUUUUACUAGGGAUGAUAAUGACAGUACCUAGAGAAUAAGCUCCGGCUAACUCCGUGCCAGCAGCCGCGGUAAUACGGAGGGAGCUAGCGUUGUUCGGAAUUACUGGGCGUAAAGCGCGCGUAGGCGGCUUAUCAAGUCAGGGGUGAAAUUCCGGAGCUCAACUCCGGAACUGCCCUUGAAACUGGUUGGCUAGAAUAUUGGAGAGGUAAGUGGAAUUCCGAGUGUAGAGGUGAAAUUCGUAGAUAUUCGGAAGAACACCAGUGGCGAAGGCGACUUACUGGACAAUUAUUGACGCUGAGGUGCGAAAGCGUGGGGAGC
This 650-nucleotide ribosomal RNA is filed under the name uncultured bacterium. Its description in RNAcentral is "bacterial SSU rRNA". It matches the Rfam family "Bacterial small subunit ribosomal RNA", at positions 83 to 769 of the family's 1533-position model. The record is from RNAcentral.